UACGAAGGGGGCUAGCGUUGCUCGGAAUCACUGGGCGUAAAGCGCACGUAGGCGGCUUUUUAAGUCAGGGGUGAAAUCCUGGAGCUCAACUCCAGAACUGCCUUUGAUACUGAGAGGCUCGAGUCCGGGAGAGGUGAGUGGAACUGCGAGUGUAGAGGUGAAAUUCGUAGAUAUUCGCAAGAACACCAGUGGCGAAGGCGGCUCACUGGCCCGAUACUGACGCUGAGGCACGAAAGCGUGGGGAGCAAACAGG
This 253-nucleotide ribosomal RNA is filed under the name uncultured bacterium. Its description in RNAcentral is "partial 16S ribosomal RNA". It matches the Rfam family "Bacterial small subunit ribosomal RNA", at positions 524 to 776 of the family's 1533-position model. The record is from RNAcentral.